UACAAUUGGAGUGAUGAAGAGGAAUCAGG
RNAcentral lists this non-coding RNA (29 nucleotides) under Mus musculus (house mouse). Lineage: Eukaryota; Metazoa; Chordata; Mammalia; Rodentia; Muridae. The record is from RNAcentral.